This 519-nucleotide ribosomal RNA is filed under the name uncultured eukaryote. RNAcentral's name for it is "SSU rRNA". It matches the Rfam family "Eukaryotic small subunit ribosomal RNA", at positions 1161 to 1699 of the family's 1831-position model. The record is from RNAcentral.
AGGGCACCACCAGGAGUGGAGCCUGCGGCUUAAUUUGACUCAACACGGGAAAACUCACCCGGCCCGGACACUGGAAGGAUUGACAGAUUGAGAGCUCUUUCUUGAUUCAGUGGGUGGUGGUGCAUGGCCGUUCUUAGUUGGUGGAGUGAUUUGUCUGGUUAAUUCCGAUAACGAACGAGACUCUAGCCUACUAAAUAGAUCGUCGGCUUACAAACGCCGACGAGACUUCUUAGAGGGACAGGCGGUGAUUCAACCGCACGAAACAGAGCAAUAACAGGUCUGUGAUGCCCUUAGAUGUCCGGGGCCGCACGCGCGCUACACUGAAGUGAUCAGCGUGCUUUUUCAACCUACUCUGUCAAGAGUGGGGAACCCAAUGAACCUUCUUCGCGAUCGGGAUAGGGGAUUGUAAUUAUUCCCCUUGAACGAGGAAUUCCCAGUAAGCGCGAGUCAUAAGCUCGCGUUGAUUACGUCCCUGCCCUUUGUACACACCGCCCGUCGCUACUACCGAUUGAAUGUUUU